CGCCCAGGACCGCGAGAGCAGCCCGGAUGGCAGCUACACAGAGGAGCGGAGCCAGGGGAACGAGCUGACGGUGCCGGCCACGGACUUCGACGACGAGUUCGACGAAGAGGAGCCGCUGCCCGCCAUCGGGACCUGCAAGGCCCUCUACACCUUCGAAGGUCAGAACGAAGGGACCAUCUCAGUAGCAGAAGGAGAAACCUUGUAUGUGAUCGAGGAAGACAAAGGGGACGGGUGGACCCGCAUCCGGAGGAGCGAGGACGAGGAGGGCUACGUCCCCACCUCCUACGUCGAAGUCUGUUUGGACAAAAACGCCACAGAUUCCUAGACUGAGGCCACCGACGCUCGCAGCCGCGUCCCCGCACCGCCUUGCUCCUCUCCUCGCCCGGCUUGCUCCUCGGGGCCCCGGAGGGACAGGUGUCACACACUUCACACCGUGCCUUCCCGACGAGGUGACCGCUGGUGCCAGGACUCCUGACAGAUCCUGGGCCCAGAGCGCCCCAGACGGGACUGGGGUCCCCACCCGCAUUUGGCCGGCACUGAGUCCCCUGCAGCUGGUGCUGGCCCUGUCGUCCGCCCGUGUCCACCCGGCCGGUUCCCAGACCCAGCGACGCUCAGUGCUGCGCCGUGACUGCGCCUCUUCCUCCCUGCGCUCUGAGUAGCGUUGUAGGGCUCCAUCGCCUCUGCCACCAAAGACAGACGCUCGGCCCUGCGGGUCCAGAGUCGCUGGAAGCUGCAUUUCCGCCCUGCCUGGCUCAGACCCAGGGGUCACCUGAGUGUCCUCUGUGGUUGGAUCAGUUGGGGUGGGGACAACAGUGACCGGCCUGGGAAUGCCAAGGCCAGGCGACAGGGGGACCAGGGACGGGGCUGUCGCUCGCCCGGCUGGAUGUCUGCCUGCGCCCCGCGGUCCGGACGCCGUGGGGCCGACGGUCCCUGCAUCCUGGGCAACUGCGCAGGGCCGGUGGCGAGAGGCUGGGCUGCGCCCGUGUCCCGUGACGGAUGGGCCCCUCAUGUCUGUCACACCCACUCCUGCUCCAUUCUAAGCCUUCAUAGCCCCUGUGUCCGGGAGGAAGGGGAGUCAGGACCCCUGGCUCGGCCUCCUGCUGCGGGGUCGUCUCUCACCAGGGACUCCUCCGGGUCCUGCCUGCCCUCUCCACCCGCUGGGACACAGCACGACUCAUUGGGAGCCGGUGUGGUAGCACACACCUGUCAUCCCAGCGCUCAGGAGGCUGAGGCAGGAGGAUCGCCAAGCUUUCAAAGCCAGUCUGGGCUACACAGUGAGACCCUGCCUCAGGAAAAAAAGAAAAGAAAAGAAAGACUCAUUUGAAGAGCACCUGCCCAGAAAAUGACUUCAAGACAAAACGAAAGAGGAACUCGUGCUUUCCCCAGCUUUCCCUUUGCGAGAUGAGAGCUGAGGCGCCCUGGGCUUCCCCUGGGCUGUGAGCGGCGCAGCGGAGGGGCUCACGCCGUAGCAGCUGUGAGACACCUGUGUCGCGGCACCGUGACAGCUGAGUCCACCCAAGUUUCCUCCCAGAACCGCGGUCCGCGUUUCUCCACGGCUCUGUCUCUUGUGUUUCUAACGUCGCAAACCGUCUUGGUCCAGGAUCCCACUUCAGCCCGGCGUUGGGCCCCACGUGUGCGUGUGUGCGUGCGUGUGUGUGUGUGUGCGCGUGUGUGUGUGUGCGUGUGUGUGUGUGCGUGUGCUGCACUAACCCUGAGCUUCGGGGCACAGCAGCUUCGCGACGGACGCCGCCAUUGUUCAGGUCCGGGAACCCGUUUGUCUCUGGAGAUGGAAUUACACCAAACCACGCUACCUUGGGAGCCUCAGAUUGGCUCUGUAAUCCUGUAAUCCACUAAACGGCCGAUAAAACGAC
Molecule: long non-coding RNA, 1871 nt
Organism: Fukomys damarensis (Damara mole-rat)
Lineage: Eukaryota; Metazoa; Chordata; Mammalia; Rodentia; Bathyergidae
Exons: 4
Source: RefSeq, a predicted model, not a curated record